UUGGAGGGCAAGUCUGGUGCCAGCAGCCGCGGUAAUUCCGGCUCCAAUAGCGUAUAUUAAAGUUGUUGCAGUUAAAAAGCUCGUAGUUGAAUUUCGAGACCGGUUUACUGGUCGUGCUUUUGUACGUACUGGUAUUAUUGGUUUCUCCUUUCUGACGAACUAUAAUGCCAUUAAUUUGGUGUUAUAGGGAAUCAGGACUGUUACUUUGAAAAAAUUAGAGUGUUUAAAGCAGGCUCACGCUUGAAUACAUUAGCAUGGAAUAACGGAAUAGGACGUUUGAUUCUAUUUUGUUGGUUUCUAGGAUCGACGUAAUGAUUAAUAGGGAUAGUUGGGGGCAUUAGUAUUCAAUUGUCAGAGGUGAAAUUCUUGGAUUUAUUGAAGACUAACUACUGCGAAAGCAUUUGCCAAGGAUGUUUUCAUUAAUCAAGAACGAAAGUUAGGGGAUCGAAGACGGUCAGAUACCGUCGUAGUCUUAACCAUAAACUAUGCCGACUAGGGAUCGGAUGAUGUUAAUUUUUUAAUGACUCAUUCGGCGCCUUACGGGAAAC
Molecule: ribosomal RNA, 548 nt
Filed under: uncultured Glomeromycotina
Lineage: Eukaryota; Fungi; Glomeromycota
Description: SSU rRNA
Rfam family: Eukaryotic small subunit ribosomal RNA
Source: RNAcentral